UUCCCCUUGUGUACACUUGUACACGCACCAAGAGUGUGACCUUCUUGGUUUGCACAGCUGCACAGAUUAUGCGUGCGAUCAAAGGAUUUCCAAGGCCUAUUUGUAAUUGGGCUGUGGGCCUCCUUGGCCGUGAGUCUUGACUCUUCUUGGGUCAUGACUUAUUCUCCAAAUCCAUUAAGCGUACUUAGCUCUUAAGCUUUCUUUAGACAAACUUGGCCUAUUCAUUAGAAUAAUCUCAAUUAGGAAAAUAGUCAGGGAUGAAAUUACUUUCCUGUUAUGAGCAAUCCCGUUUAGGAAAUAAAACAAUGUUGGCAUUGCUUUCCUAUUUGGGACGGAACUUGUACGACUUGCGUGUGCACAUCUGUUGUGCUGCAGUGGACUUGCAGAUAAUUAUUUCGUAGGAGUCCAAUUUUCUAAAGGGUUCCUCCUUGAUACAUAAUUACAUCUUUGGAACUAAUUUUAUGCUGUCUAAGAUCACAUCACAAAAUCACUUAAAUUAGAUAGUAAGUAGCUCAAUUAUGCAUUCAAAAUAAGUGAAAAAUAUGUUAUUUAUGUGGAUUAUCAAAUUCUCCCACACUUAUCUUGUGCUUACCCUCAAACACCUCACACUAUGAAUCAAUAACUCUCAAGCUUUCACCUUCAACUCAUAUAUUCCCACUCAUUUCCUCACAACUUGUAUGUUAUAUCUCCAUUCUCGAACUGUAAGUAGAGACAUCAACUAGUAAUUCGUAGGCUUGAGUUUUAUGGAAUCACACUAAUGAAUAAUUAAUUUGACUAUAAGCACAAAAAUGAAAAUAUUUUGCAAUUUUUUUAAACAUGUUUAUUUUUUAUUGAGAAGAAUAGCCUACACCCACAAUAUAACAGUCACACAAAACUUGUCCAUAUAUAAGAAUUUCAUGUAAUUGGUUCAUGUUAGACUAGAAAGUUUAAUUGUAACUAUCUUGAGCAAUUUUAUUGGUUGAUUGAAAUGUCACUAAUCUUUUGACACGAUGACAAACAUUUGUGAUGAAUAUACCUAGUUAUUUAGUUGGUCACAAAUUCACGUGGCUACGAGCGCUACUCAUAGUCAAUUGACUGGAGGAGUAUAUUAUUAUUUUUGUUCUUUAUUUUUUUCUAGUCAUGAACCUUAAGAUUAUUAUACACAUAAAUCCAUAUAGGUUGUAGUGGAGUUUUCUUAAGUAUCGACAUUCAUUCAAUGAUAAGAGAAAAUUAAUUAAAAACAAUCCCUAGACAAGUUAUAUUAAGACAUAUAAUCAAAGAUAACCACUCAUAGUGUAAAAAGAUGAAACAUAAUCUAAAAAUCCUGGAAGAUUAUUAUAAUUACAAUUCAAUUAUUGAAAUAUCACAAUUGGGUUGUUUUGGGAAUAAUUGAGAUAAUAGUGAAAAGCCUGGGUUUAAAAGUGUAAUUGUGGUGUGCCUUGGGCAAUGUUAUAAAAAAUUUAGAAUACAGUAGCGAAUAUUAGAGAAUGCAACAAAGUAUUAAAGGAAAACCUAAAAUGUAGUAUGUCUCUCCCCCGCAUUUAAACUGCACAUUGUUCCCAAUGUGAUGUAUAGAUGGAAUAAUGAAAUAAAUAAAAAUGAAUGGACAAAGUGACUCCCCUGGUUACUUGAGGAAAAGGCGGGUACGUUGGUCAGUAUCAUUUGGACUUGUGGUAAUGGGCGACCUUCACCGUUUGUGCUAUUGAUUGGACUAGCUCAUCGAUUUUGUCCAGCUGUUCUUUUAUUUGGAGACACUUGUUCUCAACAUUGUUUAAGCAGUCAUCCAUCUUUUGUAGUUUCAACAUAAUCACUUAUGGAUGUUGAAUCCACCAAAAAUAAUCUCCUACUCUAACUACAAUUUAAAACUUGUAGUAGUGGCGAAUAGGGUCGAAUCAUGAGAGAAUUGAGAACCACUCUCCUUUUAUGGCCAGUGAUAAAACCAAAGCUGGGUUUCAUUUCAAGAUAACAUAAAGAAUUAAAAUAAAUCAAAUAAACUUAAAAUAGAAUGAUAAAAAUUGUUAUCAGCAAGUGAUUGAAGUAGCAAACAGUUAUGAAUGGAUUUCAGUUAAAGAAGUAGUUUAGAUUCUAGUUGUUGGUUGAUCACUGAUGCAAUGAUUAUCCUUAUUUGACUUUCAAUAAACCAGUUCUACUUGUUGAAAAUGCUCCUAACAACUAAUGUUUCCUUAAUCUUAUAUUAACCAAGAGACAUUCGUUAGUUAGCUCUUGCUAAUAAACAAUUUCGAAGAUGCUCUUAGAAUUUACUUUAUUACCAUUAUUAAGAUCUAGAAAGACAUGAUUAUAGUCAAUGAAUUCAACUGCGUGAUUCAUUCAAACUAGAUUGUAUAUCCUUUUAGUAUGAAACUAAUUCAUCACUAAUUAUUAAAAUAAUGUAAACAAUUAAGGAUUUAGAACUUUUGAAUGGCAGUAUGAUGUUAUGUUUCGUGCUUAACGGACCCUAUUAAAUGACCAACAAAAAAUAAGAAUAAUAUGUGCAGAGAGAUAUGUAAAUAUUGAAGUUUAAAGAAGAACAUAAGUAAAUAAUUAGAUCUCACAAUCCCAAAUUGAAACUUCAACUAAGUCUUUAACUGAAAAGUGUUUGUUCAGUCAUCAUGAUGAGUUCAACACACAAGAGAUUGUUUUGGUGAUUAUAGAAAGAAAGAAUGAUGUAGAAGGAUCAAAUCUGUUAAUGUUGCUGGUAGCCCCCUUCUUUUUUGUUUUACUUUCUAUUUAAAAGCCGAGAGGAUCAAGCUUUCCUCUUGUGAAGAUAGGGUUUUUUAGGUGAUUUCAGCUUUCUUUCUACUUUUCAAAGUCAUUUAAUUUAUUUGAUUUCCCCUUUUUCAAUUGUAACGGGAUCUUCUUUUAAAUUUAAGAGUGCACCAGGAUAUCUGAUGUUACUAGCCCAACCCUUGUUUGAGGCUUGUCUGUGUAUGAUCUGAUACCUACUAACGCUACUUGGAUGUUAGCUUUGCCUAAGGUUCAUCUGUGUAGAAAUCGAUGUUUUCCACUACCACAGGAAUGCAAGUCUUGCCCGAGGCUUGGUAGGAUGUGGACUAAGAUCUGCUACCCUUGCCCGAGGCUUAUGCAAAAACUGAUGACUACUAUUAUUUAUGCACAUUUUUAAACUCUCCCACACUAAUCUUGUGUUUUCCCUCAAGCAUCCCACAGUACCAUUUAAUAGUUCUCAACCUUUCACCUUCACCCCAAUUUUCCCCAACUAUUCCCUCACAACUCGUGUGUCAUAUCUCAAUCCUCAAAUUAUAAAAAUAGUCAUCGACUAGUAAUUUCUAGACUUGAGUUUCAUAAAAUUAAACAACUAAACAACUACUUCGAAUAGUACCCGAGCAUAAAACAAAAAGGUUUUGUAAGUUUUUUAACACAUUUAUUUUUCCUUGAGAAGAAUAAUCAACAUCUAGUAUAACACCCACACCAAACCUGUCCAGAUAUAAGGAUUUCAUGCAAUUAGUUCAUGCAAGAACAGAAAAUUUUAUUGCAACUAAUUUGAGCACUUUUAUUGCUUACCAAAAAUGUUAUCAACUUUUUAAAAUGAGGACAAACAUUUGUGAUGAAUGUACCCAGUUACUUAGUCAAUCAGAAGUUACAAGUGGCUACUAGCACUAUUUAUAGUUAAUUGACUGGUGGAGUAGAUUAUUAUUUAUGCUCGCUCCCCCUUCUUUUUUGAAACUUCUAGUUAUGAACCUUAAGAUUAUUAGACACACAAAUCCAAACAAGUUAUAGUGGAGUUUUCUAUAUUUACUUAAGGGCAAGAAAAAAAAUCAAUUAGAGGCAAUUCCUAAACAAGUUAUGUCAGAACACAUAAUCAAAUAUAGUCAUUUAUGGGCUGAAAAGAGGAAAAACAAGCUAGAAAUCCUAGAAGAUUACCGUGAAUACAAUUAAGUCCUUGAAGUGUCACAAUUGAGUUGUUUUGGGAAUCAAUAAGACAAUAAUGAAAAAUAUGGGGUUUAAAACAGUUGAAAUAUUAUUUUUAGUGGUUUAUCGUGGGCAAAGCUAAAGUAUGCAUCGGUGGGUGUCAUGAGAGAAGUUUGAAUGCAACAAAAAUAAUAUAGCUAAAUAUCAAAAUGGAACCUAAAACGUAGUGUGUCCCUCACCCACACUUCAACUACACAUUGUCCCUAAUGUGAUACAGAGAAAAUGAGUAAUAAAAGGAAAAUGAAGGGAUAUAACUCCCUGGUGUGGUGACUAGGAGGUGUGGCAUACUAGAAGCAUCAUCUAAUUCUAGGGCGAGGGGUAUCCUUUACUGUUUAGCUAUGGAUUGGGCUAGCUCCUCAACCCUUUUGGAUAGUUGGUGGGUCAAAUUCUUGAGGUGAAACAUGCAUCCAUCUAUCUUCUGAACAUGUAGCAAUACUCCUUGCAGGAGUUGGUGGAUCUCGGCUGAUGUAGCUUCGGUGGCAGAAGGUGUGGUGGUAGCAGGUUUUGUGGCUUUCAACUCUGUGUGUUCUUUCUUUUUGCUGUAUACUCACAUGUUUCUAGGAACAAGUGGGCCAAGUAGGGCAAAACAUGGGAUGUCAUGCUUAAGGUGUAGCAGUCCCAUGUCAUCCAAAAAACCCAAAUAUAAGGCAGUUUGAGGGCAAGUUAUGUGCAAGUUAGUCUCUCCUAUAUCAAAUGUAGUGAUGUAGAGGGUAAUUCGGGUGAUGAUGGAUCUUAGAAUUGAUGGCCAUUUGAAGGAAAUGACAUUAGAAAUUGAGAGGUAAACCAAAAACUGAGGUUGACUCUUUUCUUAUUAACCAUACACGAUAGGAAGUAUAACUUGAUUUUGGAGAAGAUACUGGUGCAUCUUUUCGACUAAAAAAUAGUAAGCCAAAGACCUAUGAAUGUAUUUUAUGCAUGGAUUGUGCAAAUAUAAGUCCUUAGAUUUACUAGGGUUAAAUGUCUCCGGUGGAUUGUCGCAGAAUUGGGCAUACACAGUGGUAACAUCAAAGUCAUCACAAAAAUUGCAAUAGGGAUUUUCACGAUUGAAUACAGCUAUGAAAAUAGUUAAAGUGUUUGCCUAAAAAAUGGAAAGAAACUAGAUUAGGUGUGUGAAAGGUGAAAUCGGCCGGUUUAUAAAACUUAAAGGUUGUGUAAAACUCCCUAACUAGUUCUACAUAUGCAGGUAUGUCAACCCCAAAGUAGUCUUCCUAGCCAAUGUUACAAAUCAACAUAAGUACCCAUUGUCUAAUUUUUAGGGUUUCGAGAGUAAGGUGAUGGACAGACUUACAUGAUAUGAUGGGGAGUUUAUAGACUUCCAUAUAUCAUUCAUUCUCUAAAACCUCUUAGAACAUGAGGUGGUUGUGCAACUCGGAUUCAACCACUGAGAGGAUGUGUUUCCCCUUUUUAACCCUUGCUCUCUUUCGGGCUCGCUCGGCUUCAGCAUCUUUGUUUGCAGGCUCUUGGGCCAUGGGUUGGUACGUGUGUGGUUGUUCAUUAUCAUAGCUCGUUUCAGGGUUUUUUUACUCCUUGGUUGGAGAGUCAAGAACGUCGAAUACAUGGUUGCAGCGUUGUUGAUUGGGCAUUGCAGAGCCGCUAGCGCCAUGAGGUAAAACAUGUUCCUCUUUUGGAAUAUAGAGUUCGAGUGUUGCUAGAGGCGUCUGUGUUUGCGUCGUUGUCUCACAAAUGGUGUGCUGUUUUGAUGUGAGCAAUAAGAGGGAAAAUAAUUUCUUUAAAGGGAGAAUCAAACAAGAAUGAAGACUUUUUCCCAAAUAAUGUGAUAUCUUAAAGGAAGAGAAAAUCAAAUCUCAUUUCUUAAAAA
RNAcentral lists this long non-coding RNA (5725 nucleotides) under Carica papaya (papaya). Its description in RNAcentral is "long non-coding RNA (CPAP_LNC008200)". The record is from RNAcentral. Lineage: Eukaryota; Viridiplantae; Streptophyta; Magnoliopsida; Brassicales; Caricaceae.